GCCCUUGUAGUUCAAUGGAUAGAACGGCGCACUCCUAGCGCGCGGAUGUAGGUUCGAUUCCUACCGAGGGCA
Molecule: transfer RNA, 72 nt
Filed under: Candidatus Azambacteria bacterium
Lineage: Bacteria; Candidatus Azamiibacteriota
Description: tRNA-Arg
Rfam family: tRNA
About the family: Transfer RNA (tRNA) molecules are approximately 80 nucleotides in length. Their secondary structure includes four short double-helical elements and three loops (D, anti-codon, and T loops).
Source: RNAcentral